AGUGAACGCUGGCGGUAGGCCUAACACAUGCAAGUCGAACGGCAGCACAGAGGAGCUUGCUCCUUGGGUGGCGAGUGGCGGACGGGUGAGGAAUACAUCGGAAUCUACUCUGUCGUGGGGGAUAACGUAGGGAAACUUACGCUAAUACCGCAUACGACCUACGGGUGAAAGCAGGGGACCUUCGGGCCUUGCGCGAUUGCAUGAGCGCAGGUCGGAUUGGCUAGUUGGCGGGGUAAAGGCCCACCAAGGCGACGAUCCGUAGCUGGUCGGGGAGGAUGAUCAGCGACACUGGAACUGAGACACGGUCCAGACUCCUACGGGAGGCAGCAGUGGGGAAUAUUGGACAAUGGGCGCAAGCCUGAUCCAGCCAUACCGCGUGGGUGAAGAAGGCCUUCGGGUUGUAAAGCCCUUUUGUUGGGAAAGAAAUCCAGCUGGCUAAUACCCGGUUGGGAUGACGGUACCCAAAGAAUAAGCACCGGCUAACUUCGUGCCAGCCGCCGCCGUAA
Molecule: ribosomal RNA, 506 nt
Filed under: uncultured bacterium
Lineage: Bacteria
Description: partial 16S ribosomal RNA
Rfam family: Bacterial small subunit ribosomal RNA
Source: RNAcentral